AUACCAAAAUUUCCAUGGAAUUCCCAGAUACACUCACUCACCAUCAUCCUCACUGGUAGACACGAUCAUAGGCGCUUCUCCAUUUUUAGAUACAAAACUACACAUAUCGGCUUUCCUCACCAACAAGCUCACACUACAUACGCAUUCUCUGAGGUAUAGGAUACAAAAAAAUAGCAUAGAGAGAAAACAACGAGAGAGAGAGAGUUGUAGAGAGAGUGAUGAAGACAGAGAGAGAGAUCGGCGGGUUAGAUUUUUCUGGAGGUAUCCACGUCGGAAUCGAUGUUUGUCGUCAGAAAUGGGUUGAAUCAGUAAUAAACUCACUGAAAAAUUCUUCAUUUUCUUUUGAUAUUAGGACGAGACUUAUCCAGAAUCCUGUCUAUCCCAAUUUGCCUGAGCUCGAUUCCACUUGGUUUCAGUUUGCCUGAGCUCGAUUCCACUUGAUUUCAGUUUCUAUCGGAUUUUUGAGGGGGUCGCGAGUUGAUUUCGGUCUGGUUUGGGUUAGAUUUCUAUCUGUUCGGACGUCUCGUGGGUUUGGUAUUUGGAUCGGACCUUAAGUUCGGGUUUUUUAUCAAGUUGGUUCGUUGUUGAGGCUCCCAUUUGAGGAUUUUGAUUUUGGAUUUUUUUAUUAUCAGCGAAAACAAGUUCCAUUGAGGUCCAUUCUCUUAACUCGUUCUCUUUUCUUUGCCUUGAUUGGUUAAAUUGUUGUGAUUAUGUGUGGUGUGAUCAUGGUUGGUGGAUUUUGUCGAUGUUGUGAUCUUUUAUGUGUUUGACGAUGUGAUUUCGGUGAUACAUGGAAUGAAUUGGAGUAAUUUUUGGUGUAAUUGAUGGAAACGAAGCUAGGUGGGGGUUUGGAAUUGAGAAAUUAAUAAAAUGGGCGAAUCUAAAUAAAUUUUUGGUUUAUUAUUGUUGAAUUCGGAAUAAGUAUGAAUAUUGUCGGAACACUAUAGAAUCAUGGUAUGUUGAAAUGAAUAGGCAAAUGUAGGUUUGGGUAGGCAAAUUUAGAAUUGUUGGAUUGUGGGAAUGCUUGGAAUAUUUGUUGAAUGUUUUGUUUAUUGCAUUCGAAAAGUGUAUUUAGCCGGGGAAUGCCCCGAGGUCAUUUGUAUUUACUCAUCGGGGGAUGCCCCAAAGAAUUUUGUAUGCGAAGGAUGUUCAUGAUCAAGGCCCGAGGCAUCGGGUAAAGCAUAGUUUAGGACUAGAGUAGGUCAUUCCAGUAUUUUUUAUUUCGAUUUGUAAUAAAUUGGACUGGAUGCUAAAUUUUGGAUUAUUUUGUUUUGUUUGC
This 1279-nucleotide long non-coding RNA is filed under the name Capsicum annuum. RNAcentral's name for it is "long non-coding RNA (CANN_LNC020346)". The record is from RNAcentral. Lineage: Eukaryota; Viridiplantae; Streptophyta; Magnoliopsida; Solanales; Solanaceae.